ACAUGCAAGUCGAACGCGAAAGGGACUUUCGGUCCUGAGUAAAGUGGCGCACGGGUGAGUAACGCGUGGAUAAUCUACCCAAUGAUCUGGGAUAACAUCUCGAAAGGGGUGCUAAUACCGGAUAAGACCACGGAGUCUCUGGGGCUCUGUGGUAAAAAGGUGGGGACCUUCGGGCCUACCGUCAUCGGAUGAGUCCGCGUACCAUUAGCUAGUUGGUGGGGUAAUGGCCCACCAAGGCAACGAUGGUUAGCUGGUCUGAGAGGAUGAUCAGCCACACUGGAACUGAGACACGGUCCAGACUCCUACGGGAGGCAGCAGUGGGGAAUUUUUGCGCAAUUGGGGGGAAACCCUGACGCAGCAACGCCGCGUGAGUGAUGAAGGCUUUCGGGUCGUAAAGCUCUGUCAGAAGGGAAGAAAUGUGGGUGGCUAAUAUCCAUACCACUUGACGGUACCUUCAAAGGAAGCACCGGCUAACUCCGUGCCAGCAGCCGCGGUAA
This 497-nucleotide ribosomal RNA is filed under the name uncultured delta proteobacterium. Its description in RNAcentral is "bacterial SSU rRNA". It matches the Rfam family "Bacterial small subunit ribosomal RNA", at positions 53 to 523 of the family's 1533-position model. Lineage: Bacteria; Deltaproteobacteria. The record is from RNAcentral.